GGGGGCGAAAAGGGUUCGACGGGAGCAAUUGAAGCGCAGGAGGCAUGCCGGCUUUCCUGAUCCGUUACAAUCGGGAACCUAACACAAUUGCCAACAACAACUUGGCUCUGGCUGCUUAACUAAAUCAGCCACGGUUGCAGCGGUUUCGCCUGCGGACCGUUGACAACCGUCAUUCAGCAGGCUGGGAACGGAUGGUUGCCUCGGCUGUCCGGACGACAACGCAGAGGCUGGCUGACGGGGAGUUUGCCUGUUUAAUUCGCCGUCAGCGAAAAAUGAAAACAGGCUAAGCAUGUAGGCUCCUGACGCGGAAGGCUUUCGGACGGGGGUUCAAUUCCCCCCGCCUCCACCA
RNAcentral lists this transfer-messenger RNA (349 nucleotides) under Acidobacteriota. RNAcentral's name for it is "JAFGRT01 sp016935015 Standard tmRNA". It matches the Rfam family "transfer-messenger RNA". Rfam says of the family: Bacterial tmRNA, also known as 10Sa RNA or SsrA, is named for its dual tRNA and mRNA-like properties. Its role is to liberate the mRNA from a stalled ribosome. RNAcentral also lists the same sequence under 1 other name. Lineage: Bacteria; Pseudomonadati. The record is from RNAcentral.